Long non-coding RNA from Corythoichthys intestinalis (scribbled pipefish), 386 nucleotides. RefSeq lists it as uncharacterized. Lineage: Eukaryota; Metazoa; Chordata; Actinopteri; Syngnathiformes; Syngnathidae. The record is from RefSeq and is a predicted model, not a curated record. The transcript has 3 exons.
GGACAUUGGAGCCAAUGUUGACACGUUGCGAGGGAAUGUUGAUCUGUGGAUAUCCAUGAAUGAAGAAUUGAUUGAUUGAGUGAUUCCUUUUACUGAUCUGAACUGCGUAGUCCACCCAAGUAAGACAAUGAGAGUCCUGACCAAAAAUCAGGUUGAAGUUUGCCUCGAGGCUUCCAAGACGAGUUCAGGACAUGAGAGAACAACCGCGCUCAAAAUACACGGGAAGUUUCUCCUCGACAAAUGAAAUGACAGAUCAAAGUUUUCAACGUAGCAGAUCAAAGUUACACAUCAGCAAUAUAAAUAGAUCGCUCCUUCUCCUAGUCCCAUCUCCAAGGGAUUAAUCAGUUUGGAUGGCAUGAAAGGAGAUUGAUGCAACAUUUUGCAAA